CCUACGGGUGGCAGCAGUGAGGAAUAUUGGUCAAUGGACGAGAGUCUGAACCAGCCAAGUAGCGUGAAGGAUGACUGCCCUAUGGGUUGUAAACUUCUUUUAUAUGGGAAUAAAAUGUUCCACGUGUGGGAUUUUGUAUGUACCAUAUGAAUAAGGAUCGGCUAACUCCGUGCCAGCAGCCGCGGUAAUACGGAGGAUCCGAGCGUUAUCCGGAUUUAUUGGGUUUAAAGGGAGCGUAGGUGGAUUGUUAAGUCAGUUGUGAAAGUUUGCGGCUCAACCGUAAAAUUGCAGUUGAAACUGGCAGUCUUGAGUACAGUAGAGGUGGGCGGAAGUCGUGGUGGAGCGGUGAAAUGCUUAGAUAUCACGAAGAACUCCGAUUGCGAAGGCAGUUCACUGGACUGCAACUGACACUGAGGCUCGAAAGUGUGGGUAUCAAACAGGAUUAGAUACCCCAGUAGUC
This 460-nucleotide ribosomal RNA is filed under the name uncultured bacterium. RNAcentral's name for it is "partial 16S ribosomal RNA". It matches the Rfam family "Bacterial small subunit ribosomal RNA", at positions 338 to 795 of the family's 1533-position model. The record is from RNAcentral.